UGGCUCAGAAUGAACGUUGGCGGCGUGGAUUAGGCAUGCAAGUCGAGCGGCAAGGUUCCUUCGGGAGCCCUAGAGCGGCGAAAGGGAUAGGACAAUAUGGAUACGUGCCUCUUAGCUCAGGAUAGCGGCUGGAAACGGCCGAUAAUACUGAAUGACGUAUUAGUACGAAAGGUGAGAUUCCGCUAGGAGAUCGGUCCAUAGCCUAUUAGCUAGUUGGUAGGGUAACGGCCUACCAAGGCGAAGAUGGGUACGGGAGCGUGAGAGCGCGACCCCGAUCACUGGGACUGAGACACUGCCCAGACGCCUACGGGCGGCUGCAGUCGAGAAUCUUCGGCAAUGGACGAAAGUCUGACCGAGCGACGCCGCGUGUAUGAUGAAGGCCUUCGGGUUGUAAAGUACUGUCGAUUGGGCGGAAGUUAGAGGGGGUUCUCCCUUUCUUUUGACCUAUCAUUUGAGGAAGGACGGGCUAAGUUCGUGCCAGCAGCCGCGGUAAGACGAACUGUUCGAACGUUAUUCGGAAUCACUGGGCUUAAAGGGCAUGUAGGUUGUAUACUAAGCGGGGUCUGAAAUCCCACGGCUCAACCGUGGAACUGGGCUUCGAACUGGUAAACUAGAGUGAAGUAGAGGUAAGCGGAACUUGGGGUGAAGUAGUGAAAUGCAUAGAUAUNCCCAGGGAACACCGGUGGCGAAAAGCCGCUUACUUGGCUUCAACUGACACUCAAGUGCCGAAAGCUAGGGAUAGCCGAAAGGGAUUAGAUACCCCCUGUAGUGCCUAACCGUAAACCCCUGAGCCCCUUGUUCCAGGGAAGAUUAGUCCUUUGUCGAGCGU
Molecule: ribosomal RNA, 829 nt
Filed under: uncultured bacterium
Lineage: Bacteria
Description: bacterial SSU rRNA
Rfam family: Bacterial small subunit ribosomal RNA
Source: RNAcentral